CGUGUCGUGAGAUGUUGGGUUAAGUCCCGCAACGAGCGCAACCCUUAAGCUUAGUUGCCAUCAUUAAGUUGGGCACUCUAAGUUGACUGCCGGUGACAAACCGGAGGAAGGUGGGGAUGACGUCAAAUCAUCAUGCCCCUUAUGAUUUGGGCUACACACGUGCUACAAUGGACAAUACAAAGGGCAGCGAAACUGCGAGGUCAAGCAAAUCCCAUAAAGUUGUUCUCAGUUCGGAUUGUAGUCUGCAACUCGACUAUAUGAAGCUGGAAUCGCUAGUAAUCGUAGAUCAGCAUGCUACGGUGAAUACGUUCCCGGGUCUUGUACACACCGCCCGUCACACCACGAGAGUUUGUAACACCCGAAGCCGGUGGAGUAACCAUUUGGAGCUAGCCGUCGAAGGUGGGACAAAUGAUUGGGGUGAAGUCGUAACAAGGUAGCCGUAUCGGAAGGUGCGGCUGGAUCACCUCCUUUCUAAGGA
This 478-nucleotide ribosomal RNA is filed under the name Staphylococcus agnetis. RNAcentral's name for it is "bacterial SSU rRNA". It matches the Rfam family "Bacterial small subunit ribosomal RNA", at positions 1061 to 1533 of the family's 1533-position model. Lineage: Bacteria; Bacillati; Bacillota; Bacilli; Caryophanales; Staphylococcaceae. The record is from RNAcentral.